CAAGCUACUACAAUUUUGUGAACACAAAACUCACAAUUUUUCAUUUUUCUCCUAUUUCACUCCCCACAAAAAUCUGGUGAAGCAACAUCCAUCUUCUCCAUUUCCUUUUCCAAGACUCAUACCUUUGUGAAGCAAUAUCUUGUUUGUUCUCGUUAUAUCUUUGCUUAAGAAAUGCCUUGAAUGGGUGGAAAUAAAUCAUUAUUUGAUUAUUGAGAGGAAUCCAUUUCAUUAAACACUAACUAGCUUACUAUAAUCCUUG
RNAcentral lists this long non-coding RNA (259 nucleotides) under Cicer arietinum (chickpea). Its description in RNAcentral is "long non-coding RNA (CARI_LNC002264)". Lineage: Eukaryota; Viridiplantae; Streptophyta; Magnoliopsida; Fabales; Fabaceae. The record is from RNAcentral.